GCGGAGCUGCGGGGUGCGUGAGGACAUGUACUCCCGGGGCCUUAUCGAUUCCUGAGGGAGCUGUCCCUGACCUCGCUCGUGGGCUUGGUCACAUGGCGCCCACCUACGCUGUAGGUUCCCGGGGUCGAAAUCCCACGGCCACUGUGGCCCCGCA
RNAcentral lists this non-coding RNA (154 nucleotides) under Lichenifustis flavocetrariae. Its description in RNAcentral is "6S / SsrS RNA". It matches the Rfam family "6S / SsrS RNA". From Rfam's summary of the family: E. coli 6S RNA was the first non coding RNA to be sequenced, but its function was unknown until recently. Lineage: Bacteria; Pseudomonadati; Pseudomonadota; Alphaproteobacteria; Hyphomicrobiales; Lichenihabitantaceae. The record is from Rfam by way of RNAcentral.